This 71-nucleotide transfer RNA is filed under the name Camelus bactrianus (Bactrian camel). It matches the Rfam family "tRNA". From Rfam's summary of the family: Transfer RNA (tRNA) molecules are approximately 80 nucleotides in length. RNAcentral also lists the same sequence under 2 other names. The record is from Rfam by way of RNAcentral. Lineage: Eukaryota; Metazoa; Chordata; Mammalia; Artiodactyla; Camelidae.
AGGGAUAUGGCUCAGUGGUAGCGUGCAUGCUUAGCAUGCGUGAGGUCCUGGUACAAUCUCCAGUAUCUCCA